AUAGAAUCAUGCAUAUCAUCCACAACCCUUAGUUGUUCAUGGCAUCUUGAGAGCAGUGCUCAUAAUGUAAAGUAGUUCAUCUCAUCCACAAUGUUAAGUUGUUCAUAGCAUUUAGAGCCAUGGGCUCAUGACCAAGAAUCGUUCAUAUCACCCUCAGCCUCAGUUGUUUAUAGCUUCUAAAGGCCUAAGCUCACGAGAUCCCAAUUCGUUCAUAUCAUCCACUACUUUAAGUUAUU
RNAcentral lists this long non-coding RNA (236 nucleotides) under Vitis vinifera (wine grape). RNAcentral's name for it is "long non-coding RNA (VVIN_LNC007172)". Lineage: Eukaryota; Viridiplantae; Streptophyta; Magnoliopsida; Vitales; Vitaceae. The record is from RNAcentral.